AAGUCGUAACAAGGUCUCCGUAGGUGAACCUGCGGAGGGAUCAUUACUGAGUUUAGGUGGAAUCCACCCAACCCCAACCCUUUGUGAACACAUCUUGUUGCUUCGGGGGCGACCCUGCCAUUCGUGGCAUUCCCCCGACGGUCAUCAAAGCACUGACAUCUUACGUUCGGUAGUAAAAAGGUUAAUUUAAAAUUAAAAUCA
Molecule: unclassified non-coding RNA, 201 nt
Filed under: plant metagenome
Description: partial contains small subunit ribosomal RNA and internal transcribed spacer 1
Rfam family: Eukaryotic small subunit ribosomal RNA (bases 1-46)
Source: RNAcentral